Molecule: ribosomal RNA, 894 nt
Filed under: uncultured bacterium
Lineage: Bacteria
Description: bacterial SSU rRNA
Rfam family: Bacterial small subunit ribosomal RNA
Source: RNAcentral
AGAGUUUGAUCCUGGCUCAGGACGAACGCUGGCGGCGUGCUUAACACAUGCAAGUCGAACGAACUCGGACUUCGGUCCACAUGAGUGAGUGGCGAACGGGUGAGUAACACGUGAGAAACCUGCCCCGAAGUCGGGAAUAACUCAGGGAAACUUGAGCUAAUACCGGAUGCCCUCUUUCAGUCGCAUGGCUGAAUGAGGAAAGAUUUAUCGCUUUGGGAGGGUCUCGCGACCUAUCAGCUAGUUGGUGAGGUAACGGCUCACCAAGGCAUCGACGGGUAGCUGGUUUGAGAGAACGAUCAGCCACACUGGAACUGAGACACGGUCCAGACUCCUACGGGAGGCAGCAGUGGGGAAUCUUGCACAAUGGGCGAAAGCCUGAUGCAGCGACGCCGCGUGGGGGAUGAAGGCCUUAGGGUCGUAAACCCCUUUCAGUAGGGACGAAAAUGACGGUACCUACAGAAGAAGCUCCGGCCAACUACGUGCCAGCAGCCGCGGUAAGACGUAGGGGGCGAGCGUUGUCCGGAUUUAUUGGGCGUAAAGGGCUCGUAGGCGGUUACGUAAGUCGGAUGUGAAAACUCGAGGCUCAACUUCGAGACGCCAUCCGAUACUGCGUUGACUUGAGUCCGGUAGAGGAGUGUGGAAUUCCUAGUGUAGCGGUGAAAUGCGCAGAUAUUAGGAGGAACACCUAUUGCGAAGGCAGCACUCUGGGCCGGUACUGACGCUGAGGAGCGAAAGCAUGGGUAGCAAACAGGAUUAGAUACCCUGGUAGUCCAUGCCGUAAACGGUGGGCACUAGAUGUGGGGACUUUCAACGGUUUCCGUGUCGUAGCUAACGCAUUAAGUGCCCCGCCUGGGGAGUACGGCCGCAAGGCUAAAACUCAAAGGAAUUGACGGG